UACAGAGGGUGCAAGCGUUGUUCGGAAUUAUUGGGCGUAAAGGGUGCGUAGGCGGUUUGGUAAGUCUUAUGUGAAAUCUACAGGCUCAACUUGUAGUCUGCAUGAGAAACUGCCGGGCUUGAGUAUGGGAGAGGUGAGUGGAAUUCCUGGUGUAGCGGUGAAAUGCGUAGAUAUUGGGAGGAACACCAGUGGCGAAGGCGACUCUCUGGACAGUAACUGACGCUGAGGCGCGAAGGCGUGGGGAGCAAACAGG
This 253-nucleotide ribosomal RNA is filed under the name uncultured bacterium. RNAcentral's name for it is "partial 16S ribosomal RNA". It matches the Rfam family "Bacterial small subunit ribosomal RNA", at positions 524 to 776 of the family's 1533-position model. The record is from RNAcentral.